Molecule: ribosomal RNA, 253 nt
Filed under: uncultured bacterium
Lineage: Bacteria
Description: partial 16S ribosomal RNA
Rfam family: Bacterial small subunit ribosomal RNA
Source: RNAcentral
UACGGAAGGGGCAAGCGUUGUUCGGAAUCAUUGGGCGUAAAGGGCGCGUAGGUGGUUCUGUAUGUCUACCGUGAAAGCGUACGGCUCAACCGUAUUUUGUCGGUGGAAACUGCAGGACUUGAGGCUGGGAGGGGCUGGUGGAAUUCCCUGUGUAGCGGUGAAAUGCGUAGAUAUUGGGAGGAACACCAGUGGCGAAGGCGGCUCACUGGACCGGUACUGACGCUGAUGCGCGAAAGCGUGGGGAGCAAACGGG